AAUGGGCGGAAGCCUGAUCCAGCCAUGCCGCGUGAAGGAUGAAGGCGCUCAGCGUUGUAAACUUCUUUUGGACAGGAACAAUACCCCCGACGUGCUCGGGGCUUGAGGGUACUGUCAGAAUAAGCACCGGCUAACUCCGUGCCAGCAGCCGCGGUAAUACGGAGGGUGCAAGCGUUAUCCGGAAUCACUGGGUUUAAAGGGUGCGUAGGCGGUCUGAUAAGUCAGUCGUGAAAUCGCUGGGCUCAACCUAUGCAACUGCGAUUGAUACUGUUAGACUUGAAUGGGGUUGAGGCAGGCGGAAUGUGGCAUGUAGCGGUGAAAUGCUUAGAUAUGCCAUAGAACACCAAUUGCGAAGGCAGCCUGCUGGGCCUUUAUUGACGCUGAGGCACGAAAGCGUGGGGAGCAAA
RNAcentral lists this ribosomal RNA (407 nucleotides) under uncultured bacterium. RNAcentral describes it as "bacterial SSU rRNA". It matches the Rfam family "Bacterial small subunit ribosomal RNA", at positions 370 to 772 of the family's 1533-position model. The record is from RNAcentral.